AAUUCAAAAUAGUGACACGAAGAAGUUUAAUUUGAUUUGUGUCCAAUGAUUAGAGAGAGAGAAAGAGAGAGAGGGAAACACCACCACCGCACUCACCCACCACCGGUUGCCGGUUUCCCUGCAGUGUGGUGAUGACUGCCCUUUAGUAUAUUAUCAGGAGAUCGCCACCUUUAAGGCCUGGUGUGACAGCCAUUUUAUUUUAUUUUACAUUGAUAAAACAAAGAAAUGAUACGUGACUACCCAUAACAUGAGUGCCCAUUUAAAUAAUCUGUUUGAUAUGCCAGCUAGAGACUUUAUUUCCUCCACAGACUCCCGGGAAAUUGAGAUCAUGUUAAAAUUCUACAAAUCUAUAAAUAGAGCUGUCUAAUUCAUACACACUGGACCUUUAACACUAUCUAUGAAACUAUGGUUGUCACAAAAACCAACAAGAGUUUGCACAAGAUGCAAAAACAAUCGCUUUAAACUUUCUUUCUUUCCAAUGUCUAUUAUCAACUGAACAAACAACCAAGUUCAGUCCUGCUUUUCAACUCCACUUGCCAAGAACAUUUCGAAACAUUUGUUUUUCUAAAAUGAAGGCGGGAUAACAUGUAAAAGCAAGAGGCAGAAACAUUACAGCUGGCUACAACCAGUUUUUAAAGGCGUGGUUGUAUUAAUUACUCACUUCAGCUCAAGCAUUUCCCUUUUCUUGGUUUACUCAUGAAUUCUCUCUUAUCUCCCUGUAUCAUUACAGAUGGUUAUUAUCCAUCUAAAUAAAUGUGAUACAAAAUAAAAAGCAUAUCAAAAAUAGAUAUUGAUGAUUGUGAUGGUGGUUAAUGCAACCUAUGAAAGAGAAAUGUUGACAAAAUUGAAAAUGUCAACGAUAUGAUUGAUAUUCAUGAUGAGAAGUUCAGUGUUCGUGCAUCAUGAUUAAUAAUCAACAAUAUCAACACAGAAAAUGCCAAGACAGAUGGAUAAUUCAGCUUUAAUCUGAUGACUGUUCACUAUUAACCGUCUGGAUUACCUAUAAAUACUGCAUAAAAAAACUGAAUCACUCAUCGCUAUCGUAUCAACAGUAUCAUAUGUAUCUUCUGUUGCCAUUUUCCCUGCACAGUCACUUUAAGAUGUGUGUAACAUCCUGACGUUGUUGUAGCAUGUCUGUGACACUUAUCUACCAUCUAGCAUAGCUAGUUUUAAGUAUCAGGUGACACUGCAAACCAGAAAAACAACCUCACUUGUAUCAACCUGUUUUUUUAUCUGACAGUAAAACAAAAAAUCACAACACUCUUCUGCAAGGCAGCAACAGAAGCUUGUCCAGCCAUCCUCAGUCUUCAGUCAUGGCAUAUGACAGCUCUUCCACACAUGGCAGACCUGUAGCCUUCACAGCAAAGCUGAAUGUCGAUGACAGCUACCCAAAACACUCUGGUGUCCUGAAGUUUGCCACUGUGCUGGCCAAUGAGGGAGGAGGUUACAGUGCUGACACAGGCAUCUUCACUUGCCCUUUGGAUGGCCUCUAUCACUUCAUGGUGCAUGUGACGGUGUAUGGACGCGGACAAUGUGCUAUAUUUAAGAACGGAGAGGUGGUAGUGUCACUGUAUCACACCAAUCUGCCAGAUAAACUCAGUUAUAACAGUAGCCAAGUAGCCAGUAUUAGCAGUGUGAUCAAACUUUCAAAGAACGAUGAGGUCUGGAUUAAUUUAUGGGGUCGGGGUCGAAAUGACAUCUUUGCAACUGAGGAUAAUGAUACUAUCUUUACUGGGUUUUAUUUAAGGUAAAGCUGUCAUUAUCAUAUGUUAUGUUCAUUUUCAUCUUAAUAUGUUUUAAUGAUCUUCUCAAAUUUCAAGUGCUGCUUGUCUGAAAUUAAAUGAAAUAUCGUGCAUGGAUUAAUAUAGUGGUACACUUGA
Larimichthys crocea (large yellow croaker) is the source of this 1880-nucleotide long non-coding RNA. RefSeq lists it as uncharacterized. Lineage: Eukaryota; Metazoa; Chordata; Actinopteri; Sciaenidae. The record is from RefSeq and is a predicted model, not a curated record. The transcript is spliced from 3 exons.